GUAGUUCGGGAUCUAUCUUGUUUUGUCCCUUUGUCGUUUAUAUUCAAACCCUUCUAUCUUUCAUUUUAACUAAAUGGAGUGUCCCUUUUCCCUUUGUGUUUUAAAUAUGUGUUGUUGUUUUUUUACAUAGUGCAUUUUAGGUUAGUUUAAGUGAUAUUACAUGCUUGCAGAAUUUUUAGGUAGAUCUUAAAAUCCAGCUUAAGCAUGAACUUUGAAUCAGAGGGCUAAAGUUAGAAAAAGGCAUCUGAGAAAAUAGGAAGAGUGUUGAGACAUUGGGUGACCAAGUUGAAGCCUUCUUUGAAAAUUAAGGCAAUUAUUUUGAGAAUUACAAGAAUAACUUGAUCAUCAAUUGAAAGACAUGUCUCAAUUAGGUUAAACAAUGAAUGCGUGAUCCUAUAUCAAAAGGAAUAGAAAGAAAAUCAACUCCACAAAAGCAUGAGUCAUUCGAUGUAAAAGAUGUACAAUAAAGGUGGAGUUGUAUAACUGGACAAGCGUAGAAGAAGUAGUGACACACAGACUCAGUUAAAGUUAGUGCUGUAAAAAAAUGUCACAAAUGAUCUUCAUCUUUCACUGUCAUAUUGCAUGAUAUGUACUUGCAUUUUCAAGGAUUGAUAUGGCGAAGACAUUUCAUUUUGCUAUCCAAACAUUGUGUCAUCCUUUGUUUACCCCGUUUGAACUUUAAUUCUAUUUUCUUUCAUACCCCUCUUUUGGAAUCAAUAUAGAGUCAACAAAGUUCAAGAAAAAGUGGUGAGUAAAAGAAUGGAGUCAGAAAAAAAAGAGAAGACAAAUGUGUCAAAAAUAAAGAAAAGUGAUGAGUAUCAAGAAAAAUAGGGUCAGACAAAGUUUUAAAGAGAAAAAAAGCCAAUAAAAGAGAAUAAAUAAAUAAAUUAGAGUCAAGCAAAAGAAUAAAUUAUCGGAACUACGUGUGACCUGAUUAUCCUCUCUCGAAGGUGAGAUACGUAGGCAGCCCUACUUUGGGCUCAGCCCAACUAAACGAACAAUUUAGAAUUACCCAGUUAAAGAAAGUGGGGCAUGGAUUAAUUUUCAUUGUUUGAGUCAAUUCCAAAAGUUGUAAGUCUCUCCCCACUUCAAGUGUCGUUUGGGCCUCAUGCCAUUUUUUUUCUAACCUUAUCCAAAAGUCAAGUUACAACCAAAGAAAGACCUUCAGAUCAAUCGUUGAGAAUGAUAAGGCUAAGCAUGCAAUGCAUAUAAUGAUGCAUUUUGGAAACUACUUGUUUUCCUCAGCAUAAGUAAUCAGAAGAGAAAUAAAAAUGAGAGUCUUAUCGGUGAAAACCCUUACGGGAACCGUAAGACGAUUCUGAGUUGAGAGAAUGAAAAUAUGAGAGUCUCAUUGGUGAAAACCCUCACAGACACUAUAGGACAAUGGAGAGUUGAGAGAAAGAAAAUAAAAUAAACUUAUUGACGAAAACUCUUUAAGGAGUCACUAACUGAAUGAGGUCUCCAAGUGCGAUUGACCCAAGAAAGUAACUCAAUUUCAGGACCAUUAACUCAACAACAAUUGACAAAAUUUUGGAUGGAAAGAUCAGACAACUUAAUCCAAAAUGUAUGUCAUAAUCAUUAGAGUUGACUAUCACUUUCAGAUAAAUUUUCCUUUUCUUUGUUUCAAUGGACAUUCAUUGUCUGUUCUUUCUUCUUUAUAUUUUUAUUUUUGUUUUUUCGAGUUAGUUAUUCAAAUAGAAAGUCAUUUUUCUUGUGUCUUUGAGUCAAACAAAUGUCAAAGCAAGUGAUAAAAGAUUUCAAAACUGGCUACCAACUUCUUUAAUUGCACAAAGUAAGACAAAGGGCCAGCACAUGAAAGAGACAUGAUUGUGAGCCAAAAUAAGGCAUGCAGAAAGUUUUGUCAACAGAUAAGUCUUGAAACUCAUGGAAAUACAAAGUUUUAAAGGAUUUAUCUGAGGAACAUAGCAAAAAAGAGAUAUUGUGUUUGUUUCAGAGUCACUCUUAAUAAUCUGAGUUUUGAUCAAUGGUGCAGCAACUCAAUACAUAUGCUAAUGAUUGGAAGCAAGAUUAGAAGUGACAAAUGCAAGAGAAUUCACCUCAAAAGCUAAACCACAAGCUAACCACCAUGUUUUUAAACUCACAAGUUUUCUUUGUAUGAAACAGGAACACAUGUUACCUUCAAAUAAGGAUUUCAAAGCUUAAACAUCAAAGGCCAUAAUUUCUUACUUCUACAAAUGCAAGAGGCAACGUUGCUUUACCGAUUUGGUAAUCAAAACCAUGGAACCCUCUUGGAGAACAGGGUGAUGACAUUGAAAUUCAAGAGCCCGCCCGAAGAAUGGGGUGUUGAAAUUGCAAGUUAGGAGCUCGCCUGAAGAAUAGGAUAAAGAAAUUAAAAGUCAAGCAACAAGGUGAAGAAAUUAAAAGUCAACAGAUUAAAAAAAUAGCAAUUCAGGGGCCCGCCUGGAGAACAGAAUGAAGAAAUUAAAAGUUAAGCAACAAAGCGAAGAAAUUGUACCACCGACAAAACAUGGUCAAUUUUUGAGUUCAUCUCCAACACCAGAUUUUGUAUGGAGAAAGAAUUAUUCUCAAAUUUAAUCCAAUGAAAAUCAAAUCAUUCAUCACUUUUGAAAGCAUUGAAGACUCAAGUCAAGAGUCAAGAGAAGCUGCAUAGAUAGGAUUUUUGUAAUGUCAGUUAUAUUUUUAACUUGUAAUUUCAUUUUUGAUAUAAUGACAGAGCCGCGGAUCAGAACCUCGAUAGGCCUCACUCGACUUUCCAACUCA
Capsicum annuum is the source of this 2742-nucleotide long non-coding RNA. RefSeq lists it as uncharacterized. The record is from RefSeq and is a predicted model, not a curated record. Lineage: Eukaryota; Viridiplantae; Streptophyta; Magnoliopsida; Solanales; Solanaceae. The transcript has 2 exons.